Cairina moschata (Muscovy duck) is the source of this 1670-nucleotide long non-coding RNA. NCBI's taxonomy places the organism in Eukaryota, Metazoa, Chordata, Aves, Anseriformes, Anatidae. The record is from Ensembl.
UAGAGGUACUAAAAGGCUAAAAGUCUUUUCUAUAGAACAUAGGCAUUUUCAGAGUCUUCUUGAAACAGGAGAACCAGCUAAGAGAUAAUACCUCUGAGGUGAGCUGAUACCACUAGCUUUUUAAGAUAGAUUUAACUUGGCAUAUUUAAGGAGAUAAUGAAGCUUUCUGUGAAUAUCAGGGCAGCUUCCUUAUGGUUUCUCUUCUCCCUGUCCAUGAUAGCUAAUCAAGAGUGACAGUAGGAGAGCAAAUAGUGAAGCUAUUCCUUUAACCCAAAUAUUUGAGAUGUAGUGCUGAGUAGACACUUAUGACCGGUGAUGAACCUACAAAUACAAUUUCUUCUAUUUUCUUAUAAUUUUACAUUACCAUAGAGCAAGUAGUUAUAUUCAGAGACAUUUUUUUUUUUUCCACACUGCUCGAACUGCCAAUCAAUGGCUGCAGCACAGGACAUAAAUACAUGCUUUCUCAUGCAGGUGUUAGAAAAAAGGAAGAAAAAUUGUGAGAAGCUAUUUGAGAAGAAAGACCAUUCGCUGGAUCACAGCAUCUCUACAAUAUAUACAAUCAUCCUUCAUGAUUAAGAAAAUAUCAAGUGUUGUGUGCUAGGAAUAGGAAGGUGGAGAGGUCUUCCAAUUAUACCUGAAAGUAGUUAUGAUUUGGAAAAAAAGGGAAGAGAACAUAGGACAGGAGGAGACAUAUCUCAAUUGAUUGAGUGGUUACUUCCUGCCCAGAAAUAAAGAAAUAAAUGCCCAGCCCCAGAAAUCCAGGUGCUCACAGGAACUGAAAGAAAGGAAAGAAGCGGACAGGAGGACAUUUUACUUUUAGUAAAUGAAUUUAGCAUCCUUUUGAGGGGAAGAUAUAAUUCUUCAAAGUUAAGGGAGAAUUGCCUCAAAUGUCCAUAUUGGCAUGAGCUUCUUGAGCAAGAAGGGACAGGUGGCAGUGAGAUGAGCUGCUUACUAGUUUACAAGGACAGAUCUGAGUGCCUCUUCCUUCGGCCAUUUUUCUCUAUAUUUUUCAAUCUCCUUUCUGUCAUCCCAGUAACCAAUUCAACAAGUAAUACAUAAAGCCUCAAUGAAGUGAACCAAUGCUCAAGUUUUGUCAAGUUGUUUUGUACUAUACUUGUUGGGAAUUAGUAUACAGGGCGUGGACAUGAGUCCAUGGAACAAUUGUUCAAUCUGAGCUUCCCUUAAGCAAUCAGGAGUAGGCCUUAGAAAAUCUCAUGGCCUGCUGUAGCUGAGCAAACCAAGCUACCAGAGUAACUGUGAGAAGCUCCCACGGCAGUGACUCCCACAUCGCCCAAUUAAGGAACUCAGAAAAAUAUUGUUACCAGCAGCUGGCCUCAAGGACAAGGUCUACGUGACUGCUAAUCACAAGGGGGGUUCUCUUCUUGCAGGUGGGGUUGUUAUCUUAUAAUUGUUUGUCUGAGUGCUUUUGUCCAAUAAUCUUGUGUGAAACACUAUCCACCUCUGUCAAAUUCACUAUAAAAGCUAGGCUAUUCGGGCAAUAAAAUGAAGUUCACUGAUCACUCAUAUUGAGCGUCUGUGUCUUCCCUCCGUCGACAACAUAUACUAAUCUAUUUUAUUUGUCUUUCAAGGUCCACGUGUUUAAUGGAACUCAUUUCAGAUAGCUGUUGCUUUAAUUUUUUCCCCAUAAAAUCAGCUGUGCUAUAUUACUG